CUACUUUCAUGUUGGAACACAGAAAGUCGGAAACGGUCCGCCGCCGGAGGACGUGACUGCGGCCGAUCAGGUAGAUGGUGGGGUAACGGCCCACCAUGCCGAUAAUCGGUACGGGUUGUGAGAGCAAGAACCCGGAGACGGUAUCUGAGACAAGAUACCGGGCCCUACGGGGCGCAGCAGGCGCGAAACCUUUACACUGCACGCCAGUGCGAUAAGGGGACCCCGAGUGCGAGGGCAUACAGUCCUCGCUUUUCGUGACCGUAAGGUGGUCACAGAAUAAGAGCUGGGCAAGACCGGUGCCAGCCGCCGCGGUAAUACCGGCAGCUCGAGUGAUAGCCACUUUUAUUGGGCCUAAAGCGUCCGUAGCCGGCCGAACAGGUCCGUCGGGAAAUCCACUCGCUCAACGAGUGGACGUCCGGCGGAAACCAGUCGGCUUGGGGCCGGGAGACCAGAGAGGUACGUCCGGGGUAGGAGUGAAAUCCUGUAAUCCUGGACGGACCGCCGGUAGCGAAAGCGUCUCUGGAGAACGGACCCGACGGUGAGGGACGAAAGCUUGGGUCUCGAACCGGAUUAGAUACCCGGGUAGUCCAAGCCGUAAACGAUGCUCGCUAGGUGUGGCGUUGGCUACGAGCCAGCGCUGUGCCGUAGGGAAGCCGAGAAGCGAGCCGCCUGGGAAGUACGUCCGCAAGGAUGAAACUUAAAGGAAUUGGCGGGGGAGCACUACAACCGGAGGAGCCUGCGGUUUAAUUGGACUCAACGCCGGACAUCUCACCGGCACCGACAGUGUGCAGUGACAGUCAGUCUGAUGGGCUUACUUGAGCCACUGAGAGGAGGUGCAUGGCCGCCGUCAGCUCGUACCGUGAGGCGUCCUGUUAAGUCAGGCAACGAGCGAGACCCGCGUCCCUAAUUGCCAGCAGCAGCCUUGUGCUGGCUGGGUACAUUAGGGAGACUGCCGUCGCUAAGACGGAGGAAGGAACGGGCAACGGUAGGUCAGUAUGCCCCGAAUGUGCCGGGCGACACGCGGGCUACAAUGGCCGAGACAGUGGGACGCUACCCCGAGAGGGGACGCUAAUCUCCUAACCUCGGUCGUAGUUCGGAUUGCGGGUUGAAACCCACCCGCAUGAAGCUGGAUUCGG
RNAcentral lists this ribosomal RNA (1136 nucleotides) under Halobacterium sp. KeS-02. RNAcentral describes it as "bacterial SSU rRNA". It matches the Rfam family "Archaeal small subunit ribosomal RNA", at positions 156 to 1291 of the family's 1478-position model. The record is from RNAcentral. Lineage: Archaea; Methanobacteriati; Methanobacteriota; Halobacteria; Halobacteriales; Halobacteriaceae.